UGCCAGCAGCCGCGGUAAUACGGAGGGUGCAAGCGUUAAUCGGAAUUACUGGGCGUAAAGCGCACGCAGGCGGUUAUUUAAGCUAGAAGUGAAAGCCCCGCGCUCAACGUGGGAAGGCCUUUUAGAACUGGAUAACUCGAGUCUUGGAGAGGGGAGUGGAAUUCCAGGUGUAGCGGUGAAAUGCGUAGAUAUCUGGAGGAACAUCAGUGGCGAAGGCGACUCUCUGGCCAAAGACUGACGCUCAUGUGCGAAAGUGUGGGUAGCGAACAGGAUUAGAUA
RNAcentral lists this ribosomal RNA (279 nucleotides) under uncultured bacterium. RNAcentral's name for it is "partial 16S ribosomal RNA". It matches the Rfam family "Bacterial small subunit ribosomal RNA", at positions 506 to 784 of the family's 1533-position model. The record is from RNAcentral.